Acinonyx jubatus (cheetah) is the source of this 821-nucleotide long non-coding RNA. RefSeq lists it as uncharacterized. The record is from RefSeq and is a predicted model, not a curated record. NCBI's taxonomy places the organism in Eukaryota, Metazoa, Chordata, Mammalia, Carnivora, Felidae. The transcript has 3 exons.
UGUGUUGAUCAACUAUUUGAGAGUUACUUUAUCCCAGAAACUGAGAGGAGGGGGGAAAAACAAGCAAAAAAGAACCCACAAGAAUUACACGAUGCUGUGAAAUAAAUGAUAUGACAAAAAUAUAAACGAGGUACAAUGGAGGGAGAUGGAAGGGAAACAAAACCAAGAUUGGAGAUACCUUGUGUCAGGGAGAGCUUUCAAAGAUGAAGACAAGCUUGAACUGUGUUGAAGAAAUUCUGGACUAGUAAAAGGAAAGGAGCCAAGGCCUGGCAGGUAACCUUCAGGAGUCUGGCCAUUAGCCUACAGGAUUUGGGGUACCCUGGAAGGAUUUUCAGCGAUCAGAUUGGUCACAGGUGACAUACAAGAAAGGGUAAUGGUCAGGCUGUAGCUAAGGAGACCAGUGAGGAGGCCAUUUCAGUUAGGGGAUGAGAGGCUGAGGCACGGCGGUAACAGUGAGUGGGGGAAAAGGAUUUAAUUCUAUGGAGGAAGAAUCUACAGGACAUAUGAACAGAUUACACAUGCUUGAAUAGGUAGGUCAAGAUCAUUAUCCCCAACUUAAAAGGCAACUGGAACACAGGGAGCUUGAGAGACUAGACAAAGCUGCUAAAUGACAGAAGAAGAUCUGGAAUCCACAUCUUUUUAUUGAUUCAAUGCUAGAGCACUUUCUAUUUUACUACAUAGAUGAAAAGUAAGAGUCCUACUGGCCACCUCCAAGUUUCUACAUGCACUGCCCUCAGGGAAGGUGAGGGUCAUUCAGCACCCAAGCAUUGGUGAGACUCUUUUUUUUUUUUUUUCUUUUUAAAUCUAUACACAAGAUUCAA